GGUUAAGCGACUAAGCGUACACGGUGGAUGCCCUGGCAGUCAGAGGCGAUGAAGGACGUGCUAAUCUGCGAAAAGCGUCGGUAAGGUGAUAUGAACCGUUAUAGCCGGCGAUGUCCGAAUGGGGAAACCCAGUGCAAUUCGUUGCACUAUCGUUAACUGAAUACAUAGGUUAACGAGGCGAACCGGGGGAACUGAAACAUCUAAGUACCCCGAGGAAAAGAAAUCAACCGAGAUUCCCCCAGUAGCGGCGAGCGAACGGGGAGCAGCCCGGAGUCUGAAUCAGCUUGUGUGUUAGUGGAAGCGUCUGGAAAGUCGCAGGGUACAGGGUGAUACUCCCGUACACUAAAAUGCACAGGUUGUGAACUCGAAGAGUAGGGCGGGACACGUGGUAUCCUGUCUGAAUAUGGGGGGACCAUCCUCCAAGGCUAAAUACUCCUGACUGACCGAUAGUGAACCAGUACCGUGAGGGAAAGGCGAAAAGAACCCCGGCGAGGGGAGUGAAAAAGAACCUGAAACCGUGUACGUACAAGCAGUAGGAGCCCACUUGUUGGGUGACUGCGUACCUUUUGUAUAAUGGGUCAGCGACUUAUAUUCUGUAGCAAGGUUAACCGUAUAGGGGAGCCGCAGGGAAACCGAGUCUUAACUGGGCGUUAAGUUGCAGGGUAUAGACCCGAAACCCGGUGAUCUAGCCAUGGGCAGGUUGAAGGUUGGGUAACACUAACUGGAGGACCGAACCGACUAAUGUUGAAAAAUUAGCGGAUGACUUGUGGCUGGGGGUGAAAGGCCAAUCAAACCGGGAGAUAGCUGGUUCUCCCCGAAAGCUAUUUAGGUAGCGCCUCGUGAACUCAUCUUCGGGGGUAGAGCACUGUUUCGGCUAGGGGGUCAUCCCGACUUACCAACCCGAUGCAAACUACGAAUACCGAAGAAUGUUAUCACGGGAGACACACGGCGGGUGCUAACGUCCGUCGUGAAGAGGGAAACAACCCAGACCGCCAGCUAAGGUCCCAAAGUCAUGGUUAAGUGGGAAACGAUGUGGGAAGGCCCAGACAGCCAGGAUGUUGGCUUAGAAGCAGCCAUCAUUUAAAGAAAGCGUAAUAGCUCACUGGUCGAGUCGGCCUGCGCGGAAGAUGUAACGGGGCUAAACCAUGCACCGAAGCUGCGGCAGCGACGCUUAUGCGUUGUUGGGUAGGGGAGCGUUCUGUAAGCCGUUGAAGGUGGCCUGUGAGGGUUGCUGGAGGUAUCAGAAGUGCGAAUGCUGACAUAAGUAACGAUAAUGCGGGUGAAAAACCCGCACGCCGGAAGACCAAGGGUUCCUGUCCAACGUUAAUCGGGGCAGGGUGAGUCGACCCCUAAGGCGAGGCCGAAAGGCGUAGUCGAUGGGAAACAGGUUAAUAUUCCUGUACUCGGUGUUACUGCGAAGGGGGGACGGAGAAGGCUAUGUUGGCCGGGCGACGGUUGUCCCGGUUUAAGCAUGUAGGCGGAUGUUCCAGGUAAAUCCGGAACGUUACUAACGCUGAGGUGUGAUGACGAGGCACUACGGUGCUGAAGUGACAAAUGCCCUGCUUCCAGGAAAAGCCUCUAAGCAUCAGGUAACAUCAAAUCGUACCCCAAACCGACACAGGUGGUCAGGUAGAGAAUACCAAGGCGCUUGAGAGAACUCGGGUGAAGGAACUAGGCAAAAUGGUGCCGUAACUUCGGGAGAAGGCACGCUGAUGGUAAGUGAAGUGACUUGCUCAUGGAGCUGAAAUCAGUCGAAGAUACCAGCUGGCUGCAACUGUUUAUUAAAAACACAGCACUGUGCAAACACGAAAGUGGACGUAUACGGUGUGACGCCUGCCCGGUGCCGGAAGGUUAAUUGAUGGGGUUAUCCGUAAGGAGAAGCUCUUGAUCGAAGCCCCGGUAAACGGCGGCCGUAACUAUAACGGUCCUAAGGUAGCGAAAUUCCUUGUCGGGUAAGUUCCGACCUGCACGAAUGGCGUAAUGAUGGCCAGGCUGUCUCCACCCGAGACUCAGUGAAAUUGAACUCGCUGUGAAGAUGCAGUGUACCCGCGGCAAGACGGAAAGACCCCGUGAACCUUUACUAUAGCUUGACACUGAACACUGGUCCUUGAUGUGUAGGAUAGGUGGGAGGCUUUGAAGUGUGGACGCCAGUCUGCAUGGAGCCAUCCUUGAAAUACCACCCUUUAAUGGCUGGUGUUCUAACGUGGGCCCGUAAUCCGGGUUGCGGACAGUGUCUGGUGGGUAGUUUGACUGGGGCGGUCUCCUCCUAAAGAGUAACGGAGGAGCACGAAGGUCAGCUAAUCCUGGUCGGACAUCAGGAGGUUAGUGCAAUGGCAUAAGCUGGCUUGACUGCGAGCGUGACGGCGCGAGCAGGUGCGAAAGCAGGUCAUAGUGAUCCGGUGGUUCUGAAUGGAAGGGCCAUCGCUCAACGGAUAAAAGGUACUCCGGGGAUAACAGGCUGAUACCGCCCAAGAGUUCAUAUCGACGGCGGUGUUUGGCACCUCGAUGUCGGCUCAUCACAUCCUGGGGCUGAAGUAGGUCCCAAGGGUAUGGCUGUUCGCCAUUUAAAGUGGUACGCGAGCUGGGUUUAGAACGUCGUGAGACAGUUCGGUCCCUAUCUGCCGUGGGCGCUGGAGAAUUGAGGGGGGCUGCUCCUAGUACGAGAGGACCGGAGUGGACGCAUCACUGGUGUUCGGGUUGUCAUGCCAAUGGCAUUGCCCGGUAGCUAAAUGCGGAAGAGAUAAGUGCUGAAAGCAUCUAAGCACGAAACUUGCCCCGAGAUGAGUUCUCCCUGACUCCUUGAGAGUCCUGAAGGAACGUUGAAGACGACGACGUUGAUAGGCCGGGUGUGUAAGCGCAGCGAUGCGUUGAGCUAACCGGUACUAAUGAACCGUGAGGCUUAACCUU
RNAcentral lists this ribosomal RNA (2907 nucleotides) under Klebsiella michiganensis. RNAcentral describes it as "23S ribosomal RNA". It matches the Rfam family "Bacterial large subunit ribosomal RNA". The record is from RNAcentral. Lineage: Bacteria; Pseudomonadati; Pseudomonadota; Gammaproteobacteria; Enterobacterales; Enterobacteriaceae.